This is an RNA transcript of Ooceraea biroi (clonal raider ant), 2794 nucleotides long. RefSeq lists it as uncharacterized. NCBI's taxonomy places the organism in Eukaryota, Metazoa, Arthropoda, Insecta, Hymenoptera, Formicidae. The record is from RefSeq and is a predicted model, not a curated record.
AUUCUUGGUAUGUAUUACUUUUUUAAUUUGCUACGAAUGUACACUUGGAGUUUGUUAAAGAAAGGAACUAUAUUAUUUCGACACCGAAUUAUUAAUUUGUUACUUGUUUAUGACAGAUUACAUGUUUCGAAGUCAACUUUGUUUGCGCCUUAUUUUGUUCAGUAUGGAAUUUUUCUGAGUGGAGUUGUUGGUACGUUGUUUGAUUUGAAUAAUGUUAUAUAAUUUAAUUGUAUUUACCUUUGUUUAUAAUUUUUUAUUUAUUGAAGCUCAUAAAUGUAUAUAUUUUUUAUUUAAGUUGUUACACUGAGGAUGGUCUGACGCAGACCGAAACGUUUGUACUUCAAUCUGAUUAUUAAAGGAUUUUUGCACCAACAUCCAGCGUGGCUUAUUGCUAUUAUUGUUAUCUUUGAUCGUUAUUUCUUAUAUAUUCAUAUGCUUUUGCUGAAUAAAAAUGAAGCAUUACUGUAAAAGAUUGUAGUUUUUCUGAAUAUUUCUGUUUUGAUGAUUAAAGCUCUGUCAGCAGAUUUAAUAUACUCAAAACUCUUAUGCGAUAUGAUGCUCGUUGCAUUGUACUGACAAUUUGUUGUCUUCAUAACAUGUUGAGGUCUCACAGUGUAGGUCGUAUCAAGAGACACGGUAAUAGCCUAGUUUACACCGAUCGUUUGAUACGCGUAUCAAAUAGUACAUUUGAGCUAAUCAGCCAAUGACUAAACGGAUGCACUAGUUAUUUACUAUUUAAUACGCGUAUUAAACAAUCGGUGUAAAAUACACUAGUGUAUCGCGCCAAGUGUACGCGAAGCGAGACCAACUGUGUAUCUUUACACGAAGCGGCGAUUUCAGAGACCCUUAGAUUAUCAGAUCUUAAUAACCGCUGAUCCGAUUAACUUCUAAGUAGGCUCAAUAGAUAGUUUUGGUUUGCAUUAUAUAAUAAAAGCAUUUUCGUGUAGGUGGCGUAGGUGUAGAGAUAUUGCACUGCAAAGUCCAAAUCUUGAAAUUUUUAAGAAACGUCGUUAUCAUCAUCGUCGUUUGUACAGUUCGUUCUUUUAUUCUUAGGUGGCAGCAGCAGCGGUCUUUUGCACGUAUGUACAUGCACGUGUUUAUACCAAAGUUAUAUUAAUUUAUGUUUAUAUUUAUGUAUGUAAUUUUUAUAUAGUUACGGUGUUUAUGGGGCGGCAUAGUCACGUUACUAUAUUUAGUUUUAUAUUUUGUUUACAUAAGUACUACACUAAUAGUGAAUUCGGUCGGUUUGCACUCGUGUUACACUAAACUAUACAAGUGCAGCACUAGGCCGAAUCCACAUUGCACUGAAUUGUACGAGUGCAGCACUAGGCCGAGUCCACAUUGCACUGAAUUGUACGAGUGCAAUACUAGAUCCAGUCCACAUUGCAUUUAACUGUACGAGUGUAACAGAAUUCUAGCCGACACUCCUAACCUUUCUGUGCAACAUCAAAUUCAUAAUUCUAUACUAUUCGUAACACUAUUAAACAUUUAGCCAUUACGAAUGAACAAAGGAACUGUUCAACAAGUAAACAUAAACAGAAACGGUGGAAAUAAUAUCAACAUGAGUAUAAUUUUCAAAAGAAUUAUAUUAGACGACAACAACACAGUAAUAGAGAACGAAACUCACAUUUUAUGUGAAGUAGAGAAUGAAACAGGUGAUUUAAACAUAAUUAUGAUGGAUAAAAAAAACUGUCUGAAGCUGGACAUGAAAUUUCUGAUAACACUAUUUUAACAGAAGAAUCUUCAAGUUUUGAUGAAAAUGAUGAGUUACAUGCAAAUACUAAAAACGACGAGUGGUCAGAUGAAACCACUAGAUUUAUACUGGAUAAGUAUGCUGAUUAUUUGGAAUUAGUCGGCCCAAUGAAAAAAUUUAAAAACAAAAAGGUAAUGUGGAUGCAAAUCGCGAAAGAUAUGGAAACAGUUUUAGGCAUACAAAAAACAUAUAUCUAAUGUGAAAAUCGGUAUAAAACAAUCCUUCGAAGAAAACGUAUUUGUGAUAAAAAUAAUGCAACUUCCGGAUCGAAGAGGGCUAAAAUAAAUUUUGAAAAUGAAUUAAAACAGAUUGCUACCAAAGAUGACAGUAUAGAGCCAGAAGUAUUACAAAGCGCAAAUAAAGUUGUACUUAAUGUUAAAAACACUAAUGUGUCUGAAUCAUCUAAUACAUUAAAAAAUAAAAAAGCUAAAUGUAACUUACUUCAAACUCUUAUUGAGAUUCAUAAGGAAGAAGAAUCUAAAAACCAAGAAUGACAUGAAGAGAAAAUGAGAUUGUUAAGAAGCUUUCUUGAAAAAGAGAAUAAGGAUACUUCAGACGUGUGAUAAGUUCUAAAGCAUAUUUUUUCUAUUUUUUCUAUAUAGCAUAUUUCGAAUCUUCUAUGUUAUUUCUAAACAUGCAUAAGACAGUACAAGUAAUAUAUAAUUUAGAGAGAUAUUUGUGUUUAAAAUAAGAGAAACGUGAUAAGACUUAAUCUUUUUUCUUUACUUUGAUAUUAAAUAAAAAUUGUACUGUAAUUUUGUUUAUUCUUAAGAUAAAAAUAUUAAGUUUUUGUUUAGGUAGUGUACCAAAAACUAUGUGAAAAUAUUAAAGUAUAACGAAUCUAUGUAUUUAAUAUAAGUUGCGCGCAUGAUUCAUAUUAUAUUACUUGCAAUAUUGUUACAUCUUAAUAUUUUUUGACAAAUAUUCUUAUUAGACAUAUAUUUUAAUAUUUAUAUGAUACUAUGUCGCAUUGAUAAAGUUUUUUGUUACUAUUUAAGGAUAUACUGUGCAAUAAAAAUAUAUGAAACUAUAUAUAAGUAU